AUGUGUACCUGGAGAACACCCAGGCUUUCAGUGAGUCAGGGUCUGGCUUCGCAGGAGGCCUGGGCAGGCGAUGGGCUCCCAUAUUUUGCAUUCCUGAGGGAAGGCCUGCUUUCCUCCAGCAGACUGGAUUCCCACCAUUGGCUUGUGACCGUUCCCAUCUUUCAUUUUGUUUACCCAGAAUUCUCUGCUGACAUGGAGUUGGCCACUUCUAGUUUUCCGCAAGAAACCACCUCCUCCUAUCUUGUGGAGGAAGCCACCUUCAGCUCUGUGGAAGAAGCCUUCUUCAGCUUGGUGGAAGAAGCCAUUGAGGUCUCAGAUGUCCUUGCUGUUUAUUCUGAAGAGCUCAUGACUGGAACACCAGAAAACGAAUCAAAUUCUGCAUUAGCUAUGAUGAUCACUGCUAUCCACUACUUUCUAAGAAGAUUCUGUGCUGUUGAAGAUGCCUACCACUAUGCUAUAGGAGGUCUACUGCAGGAAACUAGAAAAACAUAG
RNAcentral lists this long non-coding RNA (492 nucleotides) under Papio anubis (olive baboon). RNAcentral describes it as "lncRNA (ENSPANG00000037247.1)". Lineage: Eukaryota; Metazoa; Chordata; Mammalia; Primates; Cercopithecidae. The record is from RNAcentral.